RNAcentral lists this ribosomal RNA (773 nucleotides) under uncultured bacterium. Its description in RNAcentral is "bacterial SSU rRNA". It matches the Rfam family "Bacterial small subunit ribosomal RNA", at positions 8 to 796 of the family's 1533-position model. The record is from RNAcentral.
AGAGUUUGAUCCUGGCUCAGAAUGAACGUUGGCGGCGUGGAUUAGGCAUGCAAGUCGAGCGUGUACCCCGCAAGGGGGAAAGCGGCGAAAGGGACAGUAACACGUAGAUUACCUACCCUCUGGUUCAGAAUAGCUGCGGGAAACUGCAGGUAAUGCUGAAUGAUGUCUCCGGACCAAAGGUGUGAUUCCGCCGGAGGAUGGGUCUGCGUCCUAUUAGCUAGUUGGUGAGGUAACGGCUCACCAAGGCAAUGAUGGGUAGUGGGUGUGAGAGCACGACCCGCGUCACUGGGACUGAGAUACUGCCCAGACACCUACGGGUGGCUGCAGUCGAGGAUCUUCGGCAAUGGGCGCAAGCCUGACCGAGCGACGCCGCGUGCGGGAUGAAGGCCUUCGGGUUGUAAACCGCUGUCAGAGGGGAUGAAAUACAGGUGGGUUCUCCCAUCUGCUUGACAUAUCCUCAGAGGAAGUACGGGCUAAGUUCGUGCCAGCAGCCGCGGUAAGACGAACCGUACGAACGUUAUUCGGAAUCACUGGGCUUAAAGGGUGCGUAGGCUGCGCAGAAAGUUGGGUGUGAAAUCCCUCGGCUCAACCGAGGAACUGCGCCCAAAACUACUGUGCUCGAGGGAGACAGAGGUGAGCGGAACUUAGGGUGGAGCGGUGAAAUGCGUUGAUAUCCUAAGGAACACCGGUGGCGAAAGCGGCUCACUGGGUCUCUUCUGACGCUGAGGCACGAAAGCUAGGGUAGCGAACGGGAUUAGAUACCCCCGUAGUCC